This 484-nucleotide ribosomal RNA is filed under the name uncultured bacterium. RNAcentral's name for it is "partial 16S ribosomal RNA". It matches the Rfam family "Bacterial small subunit ribosomal RNA", at positions 30 to 507 of the family's 1533-position model. The record is from RNAcentral.
AUUGAACGCUGGCGGUAGGCCUAACACAUGCAAGUCGAGCGGAUGAAGGGAGCUUGCUCCUGGAUUCAGCGGCGGACGGGUGAGUAAUGCCUAGGAAUCUGCCUGGUAGUGGAGGAUAACGUCCGGAAACGGGCGCUAAUACCGCAUACGUCCUGAGGGAGAAAGUGGGGGAUCUUCGGACCUCACGCUAUCAGAUGAGCCUAGGUCGGAUUAGCUAGUUGGUGGGGUAAAGGCCUACCAAGGCGACGAUCCGUAACUGGUCUGAGAGGAUGAUCAGUCACACUGGAACUGAGACACGGUCCAGACUCCUACGGGAGGCAGCAGUGGGGAAUAUUGGACAAUGGGCGAAAGCCUGAUCCAGCCAUGCCGCGUGUGUGAAGAAGGUCUUCGGAUUGUAAAGCGCUUUAAGUUGGGAGGAAGGGCAGUAAGUUAAUACCUCGCUGUUUUGACGUUACCAACAGAAUAAGCACCGGCUAACUUCGUG